UGGCUCAUUAAAUCAGUUAUGGUUCAUUGGAUCUUACCCAUACUACUUGGAUACCUGUGGUAAUUCUAGAGCUAAUACAUGCAACUCAGCUCCGACCGCAAGGGACGAGCGCUUUUAUUAGAUCAAAACCAAUCGGGCCUCGGUCCGCCAAACUAGUGGUGACUCUGAAUAUCUUUGUGCUGAGCGCACGGUCUUUGCACCGGCGCCGCAUCUUUCAAGUGUCUGCCUUAUCAGCUGUCGAUUGUAGGUUAUGCGCCUACAAUGGCUAUAACGGGUAACGGGGAAUCAGGGUUCGAUUCCGGAGAGGGAGCCUGAGAAACGGCUACCACAUCUAAGGAAGGCAGCAGGCACGCAAAUUACCCACUCCCGGCCCGGGGAGGUAGUGACGAAAAAUAACGAUGCGAGACUCAUCCGAGGCCUCGCAAUCGGAAUGAGUACACUUUAAAUCCUUUAACGAGGAUCUAUUGGAGGGCAAGUCUGGUGCCAGCAGCCGCGGUAAUUCCAGCUCCAAUAGCGUAUAUUAAAGUUGUUGUGGUUAAAAAGCUCGUAGUUGGAUCUCAGUUCCUGACCGACGGUUCACCGCCCGGUGCUUACUGUCGGCUCAGAACAGCCCAUAUACCGUCGGCUCGGUCGGGGUUGCUCUUCAUCGAGUGUCCCGAGCGGCCGACAUGUUUACUUUGA
Molecule: ribosomal RNA, 681 nt
Filed under: Psammaspididae sp. 1 JL-2016
Lineage: Eukaryota; Metazoa; Arthropoda; Malacostraca; Anaspidacea; Psammaspididae
Description: SSU rRNA
Rfam family: Eukaryotic small subunit ribosomal RNA
Source: RNAcentral